This 477-nucleotide ribosomal RNA is filed under the name uncultured bacterium. Its description in RNAcentral is "partial 16S ribosomal RNA". It matches the Rfam family "Bacterial small subunit ribosomal RNA", at positions 30 to 507 of the family's 1533-position model. The record is from RNAcentral.
AUUGAACGCUGGCGGCAUGCCUUACACAUGCAAGUCGAACGGUAACAGGUUAAGCUGACGAGUGGCGAACGGGUGAGUAAUGUAUCGGAACGUGCCCAGUCGUGGGGGAUAACUGCUCGAAAGAGCAGCUAAUACCGCAUACGACCUGAGGGUGAAAGCGGGGGAUCGCAAGACCUCGCGCGAUUGGAGCGGCCGAUAUCAGAUUAGGUAGUUGGUGAGGUAAAGGCUCACCAAGCCGACGAUCUGUAGCUGGUCUGAGAGGACGACCAGCCACACUGGGACUGAGACACGGCCCAGACUCCUACGGGAGGCAGCAGUGGGGAAUUUUGGACAAAGGGCGCAAGCCUGAUCCAGCCAUGCCGCGUGCGGGAAGAAGGCCUUCGGGUUGUAAACCGCUUUUGUCAGGGAAGAAAAGGUUCUGGCUACUACCUGGGACUCAUGACGGUACCUGAAGAAUAAGCACCGGCUAACUACGUG